CCUACGGGAGGCAGCAGUGAGGAAUAUUGGUCAAUGGGCGGAAGCCUGAACCAGCAAAGUAGCGUGCAGGAUGACGGCCCUACGGGUUGUAAACUGCUUUUAUACGGGAAUAACGCGCCUUACGUGUAGGGCUUUGCAUGUACCGUAUGAAUAAGGACCGGCUAAUUACGUGCCAGCAGCCUCGGUAAUACGGCUGGUCCGGGCGUUAUCCGGGUUGAGUGGGUUGAAGGGGAGCGUAGACCGCGUGUCAAGCGUGCUGUGAAAUGUCCGGGCUCAACCCGGGCCUUGCAGCGCGAACGGGCGUGCUUGAGUCCGCGGAAAGCAGGCGGAAUUCGUCGUGUAGCGGUGAAAUGCUUAGAUAUGACGAAGAACCCCGAUUGCGAAGGCAGCUUGCUGCAGCGGAACUGACGCUGAUGCUCGAAAGCGCGGGUAUCGAACAGGAUUAGAUACCCCAGUAGUC
RNAcentral lists this ribosomal RNA (460 nucleotides) under uncultured bacterium. RNAcentral's name for it is "partial 16S ribosomal RNA". It matches the Rfam family "Bacterial small subunit ribosomal RNA", at positions 338 to 795 of the family's 1533-position model. The record is from RNAcentral.